This 292-nucleotide ribosomal RNA is filed under the name uncultured bacterium. RNAcentral's name for it is "partial 16S ribosomal RNA". It matches the Rfam family "Bacterial small subunit ribosomal RNA", at positions 505 to 796 of the family's 1533-position model. The record is from RNAcentral.
GUGCCAGCAGCCGCGGUAAUACGAAGGGGGCUAGCGUUGCUCGGAAUCACUGGGCGUAAAGGGCGCGUAGGCGGCGUUUUAAGUCGGGGGUGAAAGCCUGUGGCUCAACCACAGAAUGGCCUUCGAUACUGGGACGCUUGAGUAUGGUAGAGGUUGGUGGAACUGCGAGUGUAGAGGUGAAAUUCGUAGAUAUUCGCAAGAACACCGGUGGCGAAGGCGGCCAACUGGACCAUUACUGACGCUGAGGCGCGAAAGCGUGGGGAGCAAACAGGAUUAGAUACCCUGGUAGUCC